Molecule: non-coding RNA, 2540 nt
Organism: Malus domestica (apple)
Lineage: Eukaryota; Viridiplantae; Streptophyta; Magnoliopsida; Rosales; Rosaceae
Source: RefSeq, a predicted model, not a curated record
UUCAAUCCCUGUAGGUCUUCAUAGUCUAACCCAAUUUAGUUCCUUUCCUCCAAUUUUACUCCCCUCUCUACUUGUGGCGAUUUGUUGCAGAAUUCAACACUGACCCAUUGGGCAUGAUAUAAAGGGUAUUCAGAAAGCAGCCAAAUCCAGUUGGCGAUUUGUUGCAGAAUUCCAGACUGAUUUUGGGGGCGAGACAUCUGAUUACUGAUUUCUUAAUCAGAAAGCAGCCAAAUCCAGUUGGGUCCAAAUAUCUUAUAAACCGAUGUGAUGAUAAAAUCAGGCCGGAAAAGGGUCAGUCCAAGUGAAUCCAUGCCCUUGGGGACCCAGUGAGCCAGCACCAAGCAAGACAUGCCAAUUGUUCUGCCGAGCCGGUGCCAGUGCCAUCCAUUGGUAAGACUAACCAGGCUCUCUUUCUCCCUAAAUGUUGGGAGGUUGUGAAAGAGGCAGGAUAUAACAAUAUCAUGAUCUCUGUUUGUUUUUUUAUAUAAUAGCUGUGCACAUUUUCUGGUGUUAUAAGUCGAGCAAACUACCUGAAAUCAUUUGCUCACUUAUAUCUGCAGGAUAUAACAAUAUCAUAAUCUCUGUUUGUUUUUUUAUAUAAUAGUUGUGUACAUUUUCUGAUGAUGAUACGUAUCUUCAACUCAAUUACGUAUGUUUGCAUCAUAAUUAUAACUACUGGACCAAAUUCUGGAAUGAUGGCAUUCUAAAACCCGGUAAAGUAGUUCUAAGUCAGCCGCGCGACGUAUCUGACAAUUAUCUUGACCGUUGUAGUGGGUUAAUUCUGUUCUUUAACCUAAGACUUGUCAAUUCUGUGUGUUCAACCCCAUCACUGAACCACAUGUCUCCAUACCUAUAGCGUGUGCACAUGAGCGUGAGCAUUUUUGCGCUGCCUUGGCUUUUGACCCUAUUGAAUCCAACCACUAGAGUUAUUCGAAUUGAUCAUUCCCCACAAUCCAAAUCCAGUGGUUCCACAGUCCCAACGCGAACCCUCACCCCGAUGGCAGACAUAUUUCGCAAUCUGGACAGUGGGUCAACUUGACCCCAUGUUCAUUGAUGGGUUUAAAAGUUCCAAGGUUUGCAGGCAUUUUGUAUACUUGCAGGGGGUGUUAUAUGGCCGUGCUAGUUCACAGGAAGGUUUGUGUAUUGACCCCAAUACCAUUAAAGCUCGAGCCUUUGAAUGCUCUCAUGUUCUUGCAGACGAUGAUAGGACCAGUGCAGCAAUGGGAUGUCUUGGGAUGUCAAAGGAUCUUGUUUGUUAUGUAACAUGUGAUGGUUCAAAUACUUUUCGUUUUUGGUCUUAUAAUGACCAACGUGAAUCUGGUGACCAAUGGACUCUCAAAUAUAGUUUUGUUAGGAAUAGUUUGGUAUGGGGGGCGGAUACAAUGUUUAUACCCAGUGCAGAUAUAGUGUUUAAACCCAAUGCAAUAAGUCUGAAUGCUCAUGUCAUCUUCUAUGACACUUCAGAAUUGAUCUUUAGCUGGGACUUUGAAAGCCAGAAAUGUAAACUGUUCAACAAGUCAAAGGUAAAGAUGGCUCAAAACCUGGUUAUAACUUUCCCUUCUUUACCCAACGUCCUUGCUUGAUGCCUUACUACAGUUUGGGUGAGAGGAAUAUUGCCGGCUUUACUCCAUUGGAACCUUUUGAAGGGAGCAGAGAUUUCGAGUGCGGAAGCAUUACCAUGUGAGUGUGAUAAUCUAAAAGAUAGCUUUCAAGUUGUACGCGGUCGUUCGUAUUGGAAUAUGUUGUUCAAGAGGCGGUUUCUUUUUCCGAGUGAAAUGCAGUUAUGUGCUGGAAUGGAGCUGCCGGAUUAAUGGUGAUUUUCAGGCUAUCCGAUCACCAUGAAUAAGAUUUCUACUUUUCAGAUUAGGUGGUUUCCUUAAAUAAAAAUUUAGAUUGGAUCAAAUCAAAGUAAUUUCAGAAUUUCCAGAACAUAAUUCAUUAUUCAUAUAAUUUACAAGUUUUUGAAAAUUUUCAACCUUUUUAAGUAUAUAAUGACAAUUUUGAAUUGAAAGUGCUUGAUGUUACUGGGUUUUCCAGUUCAAGGUUGAGUAUCACACAUCACAGGCUUCGGUAUCCCUAUCUAAACAGGUCAGCUUUUAGCUUAGGCACCUCUCUUCUGUUUUUUCCUGCUCAACAAAGAAUUUCCACUAGUCGUAAUCGAUAACUUAGGGUUCUUUGUACAUUUUUGUUUGAUCUACAUAAGUUGGAUUAUUCUCGGAGGCGGUUCAAAGUCAUACAAACAAGUGAUUUACUGCUGUCUAAAGGUCGUACCCAGUGCACAAGGCUCCCGCUUUACGCAGGGUCUGGGAGAGGUGAAUGUCGGCUAGCCUUACCCCCAUUUAUGGAGAGGCUGCUCCCAAGUCUCGAACCCGAGACCUACCGCUCAUGGGCGAAGGCACUUGCCAUCGCACCAAGUGCGACCUCUUUGAUUUACUGCUGUCUAAAUGUGAAUUUUUCAUUGUGUUAUGUCGCAUUGCAUCGAUGUACGUGGAUUGAAUGCUUCUUUGAAAAUGACCGUAAGGAAAACCAUUUUGUUUUUA